UACAGGGGGGGCAAGCGUUGUUCGGAAUUACUGGGCGUAAAGGGCCAGUAGGCGGCCAACUAAGUCCGACGUGAAAUCCCCAGGCUUAACCUGGGAACUGCGUCGGAUACUGGUUGGCUUGAAUCCGGGAGAGGGAUGCGGAAUUCCAGGUGUAGCGGUGAAAUGCGUAGAUAUCUGGAGGAACACCGGUGGCGAAGGCGGCAUCCUGGACCGGCAUUGACGCUGAACAGCGAAAGCCAGGGGAGCAAACGGG
Molecule: ribosomal RNA, 253 nt
Filed under: uncultured bacterium
Lineage: Bacteria
Description: partial 16S ribosomal RNA
Rfam family: Bacterial small subunit ribosomal RNA
Source: RNAcentral